UGAGCGCAGGUUGCAGCUGCCUGGCCAGCCCGAGAGACAGCGGAGAUUCAUUACCCGCCGACACAAUGACCAUUGAUGGCCCCGUGGCGUUAUUCAAAUCCAGUACCAAUUGCAGCCGAGCCCCUUUCUCCGCGCCAGGCCCGUAUUGUUGGAGCGGCCCACUAAAAGCCCGCCCCGGCCCCGAGCCGCCAGAGGCGCCCGCUCGGGUUCAGCCCUGCGCCUCUCCAGCCCGCCGGCUCCCAGUCCGGCUCCCCGGGCGCUGCAGGUGACCCGGCGGCGCAUUCCAGCACUCCCCGCCGCCCGGGCCACCGCCGCCACAGCCACCGCCGGCGCCCCGGCCGCGACUCAGCCACAGGAAAGCGGAGAGCGCCCGAGCCGCCCCUCAGGACGGACUGGUGGGCUGAGCCUCCUCCAGCCGCUGCCAGGGUCCGACAGCCAAGCGUCGCCAACGAUGCGCUCCAGCCGGGCAAUCACCUCGGCUUUGGAAACAGAACUUGGAAAAACGAAUCCUUUUCAUUAAAGAAAAAUCUUCCGAGAUA
Cebus imitator (Panamanian white-faced capuchin) is the source of this 539-nucleotide long non-coding RNA. RefSeq lists it as uncharacterized. NCBI's taxonomy places the organism in Eukaryota, Metazoa, Chordata, Mammalia, Primates, Cebidae. The record is from RefSeq and is a predicted model, not a curated record. The transcript is spliced from 2 exons.